AAACUUUCAACAAUGGAUCUCUUGGUUCUCGCAUCGAUGAAGAACGCAGCGAAAUGCGAUAAGUAAUAUGAAUGCAGAAUUCCGGAAUCAUCAAAUUU
This 98-nucleotide ribosomal RNA is filed under the name uncultured Scutellospora. Its description in RNAcentral is "partial 5.8S ribosomal RNA". It matches the Rfam family "5.8S ribosomal RNA", at positions 1 to 99 of the family's 154-position model. From Rfam's summary of the family: 5.8S ribosomal RNA (5.8S rRNA) is a component of the large subunit of the eukaryotic ribosome. It is transcribed by RNA polymerase I as part of the 45S precursor that also contains 18S and 28S rRNA. Functionally, it is thought that 5.8S rRNA may be involved in ribosome translocation. The record is from RNAcentral. Lineage: Eukaryota; Fungi; Glomeromycota; Glomeromycetes; Diversisporales; Gigasporaceae.